GGAGGCGUACCCAAGCGGCUGAAGGGGUCGGUCUUGAAAACCGAUAGUGGGGCUCUGCUCCAGCCAGAGUUCGAAUCUCUGCGCCUCCGCCA
RNAcentral lists this transfer RNA (92 nucleotides) under Candidatus Scatoplasma merdavium. RNAcentral's name for it is "tRNA-Ser". It matches the Rfam family "tRNA". From Rfam's summary of the family: Transfer RNA (tRNA) molecules are approximately 80 nucleotides in length. Their secondary structure includes four short double-helical elements and three loops (D, anti-codon, and T loops). Lineage: Bacteria; Bacillati; Bacillota; Bacilli; Caryophanales. The record is from RNAcentral.